Molecule: ribosomal RNA, 467 nt
Filed under: uncultured bacterium
Lineage: Bacteria
Description: bacterial SSU rRNA
Rfam family: Bacterial small subunit ribosomal RNA
Source: RNAcentral
GACGAACGCUGGCGGCGCGCCUAACACAUGCAAGUCGAACGGAGCUUAGAGAGCUUGCUUUUUAAGCUUAGUGGCGAACGGGUGAGUAACGCGUGAGUAACCUGCCCUGGAGUGGGGGACAACAGUUGGAAACGACUGCUAAUACCGCAUAAGCCCACGGUACCGCAUGGCACUGAGGGAAAAGGAUUUAUUCGCUUUAGGAUGGACUCGCGUCCAAUUAGCUAGUUGGUGAGGUAACGGCCCACCAAGGCGACGAUUGGUAGCCGGACUGAGAGGUUGAACGGCCACAUUGGGACUGAGACACGGCCCAGACUCCUACGGGAGGCAGCAGUGGGGGAUAUUGCGCAAUGGAGGAAACUCUGACGCAGUGACGCCGCGUAUAGGAAGAAGGUUUUCGGAUUGUAAACUAUUGUCGUUAGGGAAGAUACAAGACAGUACCUAAGGAGGAAGCUCCGGCUAACUACGUG